CAGUCGCCGCGGUAAUACGAAGGGUGCAAGCGUUACUCGGAAUUACUGGGCGUAAAGCGUGUGUAGGUGGUUGUUUAAGUCUGUCGUGAAAGCCCUGGGCUCAACCUGGGAAUUGCGAUGGAUACUGGGCGACUAGAGUGCGGUAGAGGAUAGUGGAAUUUCCGGUGUAGCAGUGAAAUGCGUAGAGAUCGGAAGGAACAUCUGUGGCGAAGGCGACUAUCUGGGCCAACACUGACACUGAGACACGAAAGCGUGGGGAGCAAACAGGAUUAGAUACCCGAGUAGUCCCUGUCUCUUAUAC
This 301-nucleotide ribosomal RNA is filed under the name uncultured bacterium. RNAcentral describes it as "partial 16S ribosomal RNA". It matches the Rfam family "Bacterial small subunit ribosomal RNA", at positions 509 to 807 of the family's 1533-position model. The record is from RNAcentral.